CAGUCGCCACGGUAAAACGUAGGGUGCAAGCGUUAAUCGGAAUUACUGGGCGUAAAGCGUGCGCAGGCGGUUUUGUAAGACAGAGGUGAAAUCCCCGGGCUCAACCUGGGAACUGCCUUUGUGACUGCAAGGCUAGAGUACGGCAGAGGGGGAUGGAAUUCCGCGUGUAGCAGUGAAAUGCGUAGAUAUGCGGAGGAACACCGAUGGCGAAGGCAAUCCCCUGGGCCUGUACUGACGCUCAUGCACGAAAGCGUGGGGAGCAAACAGGAUUAGAUACCCCGGUAGUCCCUGUCUCUUAUAC
RNAcentral lists this ribosomal RNA (301 nucleotides) under uncultured bacterium. Its description in RNAcentral is "partial 16S ribosomal RNA". It matches the Rfam family "Bacterial small subunit ribosomal RNA", at positions 509 to 807 of the family's 1533-position model. The record is from RNAcentral.